GAUGAAGAACGCAGCAAAAUGCGAUAAGUAAUGUGAAUUGCAGAAUUCAGUGAAUCAUCGAAUCUUUGAACGCACAUUGCGCCCGCUGGUAUUCCGGCGGGCAUGCCUGUUCGAGCGUCAUUUCAACCCUCAAACCCCCGGGUUUGGUGUGGGGGAUCGGCUCUGCCUCACGGCGGUGCCGCCCCCGAAAUACAUUGGCGGUCUCGCUGCAGCCUCCAUUGCGUAGUAGCUAACACCUCGCAACUGGAACGCGGCGCGGCCAUGCCGUAAAACCCCAACUUCUGAAUGUUGACCUCGGAUCAGGUAGGAAUACCCGCUGAACUUAAGCAUAUCAAUAAGCGGAGGA
Molecule: unclassified non-coding RNA, 346 nt
Filed under: soil metagenome
Description: partial contains 5.8S ribosomal RNA, internal transcribed spacer 2, and large subunit ribosomal RNA
Rfam family: 5.8S ribosomal RNA (bases 1-120)
Source: RNAcentral